Molecule: unclassified non-coding RNA, 405 nt
Filed under: soil metagenome
Description: partial contains 5.8S ribosomal RNA, internal transcribed spacer 2, and large subunit ribosomal RNA
Rfam family: 5.8S ribosomal RNA (bases 1-121)
Source: RNAcentral
GAUGAAGAACGUAGCGAAAUGCGAUAAGUAAUGUGAAUUGCAGAAUUCAGUGAAUCAUCGAAUCUUUGAACGCACCUUGCGCCCUUUGGCUAUUCCGAAGGGCAUGCCUGUUUGAGUAUCAUGAACACCUCAACUCUCAUGGCUUGCCAUGAUGAGCUUGGACUUUUGGGGGUCUUGCUGGCCUGUGGUCAGCUCCUCUCAAAUGAAUUAGCCUGCCAGUGUUUGGUGGCAUCACAGGUGUGAUAACUAUCUACGCUUGUGGUUUUCCACCAGGUAACCUUCAGCAGUGGAGGUUCGCUGGAGCUCACAGAUGUGUCUCUCCUCAGUGAGGACAGCUCUUUGAAUGUUUGAUCUCAAAUCAGGUAGGACUACCCGCUGAACUUAAGCAUAUCAAUAAGCGGAGGA